This 253-nucleotide ribosomal RNA is filed under the name uncultured bacterium. RNAcentral describes it as "partial 16S ribosomal RNA". It matches the Rfam family "Bacterial small subunit ribosomal RNA", at positions 524 to 776 of the family's 1533-position model. The record is from RNAcentral.
UACGAAGGGGGCUAGCGUUGCUCGGAAUCACUGGGCGUAAAGCGCACGUAGGCGGCUUUCUAAGUCAGGGGUGAAAUCCUGGAGCUCAACUCCAGAACUGCCUUUGAUACUGGAGAGCUUGAGUCCGGAAGAGGUGAGUGGAAUUCCGAGUGUAGAGGUGAAAUUCGUAGAUAUUCGGAAGAACACCAGUGGCGAAGGCGGCUCACUGGACUGGUAUUGACGCUGAGGUGCGAAAGCGUGGGGAGCAAACAGG